RNAcentral lists this ribosomal RNA (468 nucleotides) under uncultured bacterium. RNAcentral describes it as "partial 16S ribosomal RNA". It matches the Rfam family "Bacterial small subunit ribosomal RNA", at positions 28 to 507 of the family's 1533-position model. The record is from RNAcentral.
GACGAACGCUGGCGGCGUGCUUAACACAUGCAAGUCGAACGGAAAGGCCCUGCUUUUGUGGGGUGCUCGAGUGGCGAACGGGUGAGUAACACGUGAGUAACCUGCCCUGGACUUUGGGAUAACUUCAGGAAACUGGGGCUAAUACCGGAUAGGAGCGCCUGCUGCAUGCUGGGGGUUGGAAAGUUUCGGCGGUUGGGGAUGGACUCGCGGCUUAUCAGCUUGUUGGUGGGGUAGUGGCUUACCAAGGCUUUGGUGGGUAGCCGGCCUGAGAGGGUGACCGGCCACAUUGGGACUGAGAUACGGCCCAGACUCCUACGGGAGGCAGCAGUGGGGAAUAUUGCACAAUGGGCGGAAGCCUGAUGCAGCAACGCCGCGUGCGGGAUGACGGCCUUCGGGUUGUAAACCGCUUUCGCCUGUGACGAAGCGUGAGUGACGGUAAUGGGUAAAGAAGCACCGGCUAACUACGUG